GAUGAACGCUGGCGGCGUGCCUAAUACAUGCAAGUCGAGCGAACAGACGAGGAGCUUGCUCCUCUGACGUUAGCGGCGGACGGGUGAGUAACACGUGGAUAACCUACCUAUAAGACUGGGAUAACUUCGGGAAACCGGAGCUAAUACCGGAUAACAUGUUGAACCGCAUGGUUCAACAGUGAAAGACGGUCUUGCUGUCACUUAUAGAUGGAUCCGCGCCGCAUUAGCUAGUUGGUAAGGUAACGGCUUACCAAGGCAACGAUGCGUAGCCGACCUGAGAGGGUGAUCGGCCACACUGGAACUGAGACACGGUCCAGACUCCUACGGGAGGCAGCAGUGGGGAAUCUUCCGCAAAGGGCGAAAGCCUGACGGAGCAACGCCGCGUGAGUGAAGAAGGUCUUCGGAUCGUAAAACUCUGUUAUUAGGGAAGAACAAAUGUGUAAGUAACUAUGCACGUCUUGACGGUACCUAAUCAGAAAGCCACGGCUAACUACGUG
This 497-nucleotide ribosomal RNA is filed under the name uncultured bacterium. Its description in RNAcentral is "partial 16S ribosomal RNA". It matches the Rfam family "Bacterial small subunit ribosomal RNA", at positions 28 to 507 of the family's 1533-position model. The record is from RNAcentral.